This 491-nucleotide ribosomal RNA is filed under the name uncultured bacterium. RNAcentral describes it as "partial 16S ribosomal RNA". It matches the Rfam family "Bacterial small subunit ribosomal RNA", at positions 28 to 507 of the family's 1533-position model. The record is from RNAcentral.
GAUGAACGCUGGCUACAGGCUUAACACAUGCAAGUCGAGGGGAAACGACGGGGAAGCUUGCUUCCCCGGGCGUCGACCGGCGCACGGGUGAGUAACGCGUAUCCAACCUGCCUCUGACUGAGGGAUAACCCGUCGAAAGUCGGCCUAAUACCUCAUGGCAUCGUCUGCGGGCAUCCAACGACGAUUAAAGAUUUCAUCGGUCAGAGAUGGGGAUGCGUCUGAUUAGCUUGUUGGCGGGGUAACGGCCCACCAAGGCGACGAUCAGUAGGGGUUCUGAGAGGAAGGUCCCCCACAGUGGAACUGAGACACGGUCCAAACUCCUACGGGAGGCAGCAGUGAGGAAUAUUGGUCAAUGGGCGAGAGCCUGAACCAGACAAGUAGCGUGCAGGAUGACGGCCCUAUGGGUUGUAAACUGCUUUUAUGCGGGGAUAAAGUGAGGGACGUGUCCUUCAUUGCAGGUACCGCAUGAAUAAGGACCGGCUAAUUCCGUG